This 72-nucleotide transfer RNA is filed under the name Heterobasidion annosum. RNAcentral describes it as "tRNA-Gly". It matches the Rfam family "tRNA". From Rfam's summary of the family: Transfer RNA (tRNA) molecules are approximately 80 nucleotides in length. The record is from RNAcentral. RNAcentral also lists the same sequence under 5 other names. Lineage: Eukaryota; Fungi; Basidiomycota; Agaricomycetes; Russulales; Bondarzewiaceae.
ACGAGUAUAGUUAAGUUGGUAUAGCUUCUAUCUUCCAAAUAGAGAUCAUCAGUUCGAAUCUGAUUACUCGUA